UACGUAGGGCGCAAGCGUUAAUCGGAAUUACUGGGCGUAAAGCGUGCGCAGGCGGUUUCGUAAGUCUGUCGUGAAAUCCCCGGGCUUAACCUGGGAAUGGCGAUGGAGACUGCGAGGCUAGAGUUUGGCAGAGGGGGGUAGAAUUCCACGUGUAGCAGUGAAAUGCGUAGAGAUGUGGAGGAACACCGAUGGCGAAGGCAGCCCCCUGGGUCAAAACUGACGCUCAUGCACGAAAGCGUGGGGAGCAAACAGG
This 253-nucleotide ribosomal RNA is filed under the name uncultured bacterium. RNAcentral's name for it is "partial 16S ribosomal RNA". It matches the Rfam family "Bacterial small subunit ribosomal RNA", at positions 524 to 776 of the family's 1533-position model. The record is from RNAcentral.